This 534-nucleotide long non-coding RNA is filed under the name Equus caballus (horse). RNAcentral's name for it is "lncRNA (ENSECAG00000055568.1)". The record is from RNAcentral. Lineage: Eukaryota; Metazoa; Chordata; Mammalia; Perissodactyla; Equidae.
CAAGGCACAGAGAAGUUGGGUAACCUGCCCAGGACCACAGAGACAGCAGGUUAGAGUGUCAGGAGUUAACCCAAGACAGCUUCCCUCCAGAGGGCACGCCCUUGCCCAUCGCUCUGUACUUACCACCUCCUCAGGAACUGGAUUUGGAGCUCUGAAGACAACCCUUUGAAGCCCUGUGGCUCCUGGGACAGCGCCCCUCCUAUAUCCAACGGGAUAAUAGAGGGUGCCCAAAAGCAGAAGAGAUACGUGCAAGAUGCACGUUCACGCUGUUCCUUGCCACCUCAUUGGCAUCCCAUUCAAGAUGCUCACUGGCACAGAAUUCCAGUGAGCCCGCAUUGCAUGGGAGUUCAGCAAGACCCAACGCAAGUACAAAGUAAGCAUGUUCUGUCUGACUGAGUGAGAAGGGGUGCUGACUGCUCUGAAGGGCCAAGCUUUCCACUUGAAUCAGAACUUUUUCAAAUGCAGAAGAAAGGCAAUGGCACUCUAAGACACAUGAACAACCAGGAGUGCUAACAUAUCUUUGUUACUCGUUAU